This 1460-nucleotide ribosomal RNA is filed under the name metagenome. RNAcentral describes it as "bacterial LSU rRNA". It matches the Rfam family "Bacterial large subunit ribosomal RNA", at positions 1476 to 2925 of the family's 2925-position model. The record is from RNAcentral.
UGAAGGUUAACUCAGCCAACUGUUGGAUAUGUUGGUUCAAGCUUGUAGUCGUGCCUGGUAGGUAAAUCCGCCGGGCUUAGAUGAGGGGUGAUAACGAGGCUGCUUGCAGCCGAAGUGAGUGAUACCCUGCUUCCAGGAAAAGCCAAUAAGCUUCAGCUAUACACGACCGUACCGCAAACCGACACUGGUGCGCGAGAUGAGUAUUCUAAGGCGCUUGAGAGAACUCAGGAGAAGGAACUCGGCAAAUUGACACCGUAACUUCGGAAGAAGGUGUGCCUUUAGUAGGUGAAGGGAUUUACUCCUGGAGCCCAAUGAGGUUGCAAAAAAUCGGUGGCUGCGACUGUUUAUUAAAAACACAGCACUCUGCAAACACGAAAGUGGACGUAUAGGGUGUGACGCCUGCCCAGUGCUGGAAGAUUAAAUGAUGGGGUGCAAGCUCUUGAUUGAAGUCCCAGUAAACGGCGGCCGUAACGAUAACGGUCCUAAGGUAGCGAAAUUCCUUGUCGGGUAAGUUCCGACCUGCACGAAUGGCGUAACGAUGGCCACACUGUCUCCUCCUGAGACUCAGCGAAGUUGAAAUGUUUGUGAUGAUGCAAUCUCCCCGCGGAAAGACGGAAAGACCCCAUGAACCUUUACUGUAGCUUUGUAUUGGACUUUGAACAGAUCUGUGUAGGAUAGGUGGGAGGCUUUGAAGCAGGGUCGCUAGAUCUUGUGGAGCCAACGUUGAAAUACCACCCUGGUGUGUUUGAGGUUCUAACCUAGGUCCAUUAUCUGGAUCGGGGACAGUGCAUGGUAGGCAGUUUGACUGGGGCGGUCUCCUCCCAAAGCGUAACGGAGGAGUUCGAAGGUACGCUAGUUACGGUCGGACAUCGUGACGAUAGUGCAAUGGCAUAAGCGUGCUUAACUGCGAGACUGACAAGUCGAGCAGAUGCGAAAGCAGGACAUAGUGAUCCGGUGGUUCUGUAUGGAAGGGCCAUCGCUCAACGGAUAAAAGGUACUCUGGGGAUAACAGGCUGAUACCGCCCAAGAGUUCAUAUCGACGGCGGUGUUUGGCACCUCGAUGUCGGCUCAUCUCAUCCUGGGGCUGUAGCCGGUCCCAAGGGUAUGGCUGUUCGCCAUUUAAAGAGGUACGUGAGCUGGGUUUAAAACGUCGUGAGACAGUUUGGUCCCUAUCUUCCGUGGGCGCUGCAGAUUUGAGGAAGCCUGCUCCUAGUACGAGAGGACCGGAGUGGACACACCUCUGGUGUAUCGGUUGUCACGCCAGUGGCAUUGCCGAGUAGCUAAGUGUGGAAGAGAUAACCGCUGAAAGCAUCUAAGCGGGAAACUCGUUUCAAGAUGAGAUCUGCCGGGGCCUUGAGCCCCCUAAAGAGUCGUUCAAGACCAGGACGUUGAUAGGCAGGGUGUGGAAGCGCAGUAAUGCGUUAAGCUAACCUGUACUAAUUGCUCGUGCGGCUUGACCA